CCGAGUUUACAACUCCCAAACCCCUGUGAACAUACCUUUAUGUUGCCUCGGCGGAUCAGCCCGCGCCCCGUAAAACGGGACGGCCCGCCGCAGGAAACCCUAAACUCUGUUUUUAGUGGAGCUUCUGAGUAUAAAAAACAAAUAAAUCA
This 149-nucleotide unclassified non-coding RNA is filed under the name soil metagenome. Its description in RNAcentral is "partial internal transcribed spacer 1". The record is from RNAcentral.